GCAUUAAUGGGGUAGUGGUAACCUGGGUCGUUGCCAUCAGGGGACGGAGCAAUACGUAAGCCUCGACCCGCCGGGGGUUCGAUUCCCUCUUAAUGCA
This is a non-coding RNA of Paramarasmius palmivorus, 97 nucleotides long. NCBI's taxonomy places the organism in Eukaryota, Fungi, Basidiomycota, Agaricomycetes, Agaricales, Marasmiaceae. The record is from the annotation of a GenBank genome assembly.